UCUUUAAAUGUGGACUAGUAUGAAUGGCACCACGAAGGUUAUACUGUCUCCUUUUUCCAAUCAGUGAAACUAAUCUUCCCGUGAAGAAGCGGGAAUAUAUUUAUAAGACGAGAAGACCCUAUGGAGCUUUAAACAACACAGCAAUUACCUACUAAACUAUUAAGUUUCUGAAUAUUAACANNCUUUUAAGUAAUCUGACUGUAAGUUUUUGGUUGGGGUGACCACGGAGCAUAACACAACCUCCAUGCUGAAAGAACUNCNUUUCUAAGCUAAGAACAACCCAUCUAAGCAUCAACAUAUUGACAUUCAUUGACCCAAUUCAUUUGACCAACGAACCAAGUUACCCUAGGGAUAACAGCGCAAUCCACUUCAAGAGCUCCUAUCGACAAGUGGGUUUACGACCUCGAUGUUGGAUCAGGGUAUCCCAGUGGUGCAGCCGCUACUAAAGGUUCGUUUGUUCAACGAUUAAAACCCUACGUGA
RNAcentral lists this ribosomal RNA (481 nucleotides) under Rhinella horribilis. RNAcentral describes it as "partial large subunit ribosomal RNA". It matches the Rfam family "Bacterial large subunit ribosomal RNA", at positions 1973 to 2603 of the family's 2925-position model. Lineage: Eukaryota; Metazoa; Chordata; Amphibia; Anura; Bufonidae. The record is from RNAcentral.